GUCGCACAGACAACCAGGAGGUUGGCUUAGAAGCAGCCACCCUUCGAAAGAGUGCGUAAUAGCUCACUGGUCUAGUGAUUCCGCGCCGACAAUGUAGCGGGGCGUCAAGCGUACCGCCGAAGUCGUGUCAUUGCGAUAUAUACCCCCAACGGGGAGUCGUGAUGGGUAGGGGAGCGUCGUGUGCCGGGUGAAGCAGCACCGGAAGGUAGUUGUGGACGGUUCACGAGUGAGAAUGCAGGCAUGAGUAGCGAUUCACACGUGAGAAACGUGUGCGCCGAUUGACUAAGGGUUCCUGGGUCAAGCUGAUCUGCCCAGGGUAAGUCGGGACCUAAGGCGAGGCCGACAGGCGUAGUCGAUGGAUAACCGGUUGAUAUUCCGGUACCCGCUGUGAAGCGUCAAACAUCGAAUCCAGUGAUGCUAAGCCCGUGAAGCCGUUCCGGACCCUUCGGGGAAAGGAAAGUGGUGGAGCCGGUGACCCGAUCUGGUAGUAGGUGAGUGAUGGGGUGACGCAGGAAGGUAGUCCAGCCCGGGCGGUGGUUGUCCCGGGGUAAGGGUG
Molecule: non-coding RNA, 556 nt
Filed under: Streptomyces afghaniensis 772
Lineage: Bacteria; Bacillati; Actinomycetota; Actinomycetes; Kitasatosporales; Streptomycetaceae
Description: Bacterial large subunit ribosomal RNA
Rfam family: Bacterial large subunit ribosomal RNA
Source: Rfam by way of RNAcentral